GUUCAUUAGUCAAAUAAAACUGAGAUGGGAAGAAUUCUGCUCCAGGGUAGAGUUCUACGGUGUGUCAAAGAAGGCAAUGAAUCCACCAAUGACCAUGGACAAAACUGAAGCCCACCUUGCACUGAUGAAGGCUCUUCCAACGCUCUUUCCCACACCUGCCCAUCCACCAAAAAAGAUGGGGAAUGCUUCUGAAGCAUUUCUACAUGUCCUGAAGCCUACAGAAGAUCCAGAUGCUGUCCUCCAGAAACGAAGCUUGUCAUGUCCAGUAGUGAUGUUCGAUGGCUGCAAGUGUGUCAUUGCUGUUGGUAAUUUACCAGUUACAACAUUUGACAAAGAAAAACUUGGUGAGGCUAUGAUAUAUGUGAUGGCAUACUUUUAUGCACUCCAUCUGACUUACCCGAAAUGCGUGGCAACCCUGCUGUCUGUCAUUCAGACAGAAGUUCUCCAGGAUGCCAUUCAUGAGCGUGACACUACAUCAUCUUACAGAAAAGCCCUGGCAGAAUGGCAUGCAUUUAUUGGAAAGUAGUGUGUAAAUUUCAGAUAAGAUUAUGAGAGGGCACUUCUGUUUUGUUUUUUGUUUUUUCAAUCUGGGUCUUAUUUCUAAAAUGGAAAAUGUUCAUUUACUCACCCAGACAAGUUUUGUGGUAUUUGGUGUCAUUCGGAAGAAAUUUGAAUCUUUGUGGUCUUCCUAUGUCACUCGUCAAUUUUAAUGGGGCAAUGGCGAAACCUCUAAGGCUGGUGAAA
This is a long non-coding RNA of Pelmatolapia mariae (spotted tilapia), 744 nucleotides long. RefSeq lists it as uncharacterized. NCBI's taxonomy places the organism in Eukaryota, Metazoa, Chordata, Actinopteri, Cichliformes, Cichlidae. The transcript has 3 exons. The record is from RefSeq and is a predicted model, not a curated record.